CAGCCGCCGCGGGAAUACAGAGGGUGCAAGCGUUAAUCGGAAUUACUGGGCGUAAAGCGCGCGUAGGUGGUUUGUUAAGUUGGAUGUGAAAUCCCCGGGCUCAACCUGGGAACUGCAUCCAAAACUGGCAAGCUAGAGUAUGGUAGAGGGUGGUGGAAUUUCCUGUGUAGCGGUGAAAUGCGUAGAUAUAGGAAGGAACACCAGUGGCGAAGGCGACCACCUGGACUGAUACUGACACUGAGGUGCGAAAGCGUGGGGAGCAAACAGGAUUAGAUACCCCUGUAGUCCCUGUCUCUUAUAC
This 301-nucleotide ribosomal RNA is filed under the name uncultured bacterium. RNAcentral describes it as "partial 16S ribosomal RNA". It matches the Rfam family "Bacterial small subunit ribosomal RNA", at positions 509 to 807 of the family's 1533-position model. The record is from RNAcentral.